CGAUAUCGCAUUUCUACAUUCUGGAAGGUGAUUCGUCCUUCUUGGGGCCAACAGGAAGCAGGAGAGGAGGGGCCUGUGAUCUGCCGAGGACCUUCACUUUCUAGAUUCUAAAUAAACAAGACCAUGACAGGAGCCUCACGGUGAACUGAAACAACCCAGUCAACUGGAUAUGACAGAAGAAAGAAUACAGACAGUUAAUAAGAAUAACUACACUAGAUCCUUCCUUCAAUUGCACUCUUGUGCAUGUGAGAGCUCUCGAAGCAGCGCACCUGUACGGCGUAGGAGAUGGCGAGUCCGGCAUAGGCGGGAGGAAUGUG
Myxocyprinus asiaticus (Chinese sucker) is the source of this 317-nucleotide long non-coding RNA. RefSeq lists it as uncharacterized. The transcript has 3 exons. Lineage: Eukaryota; Metazoa; Chordata; Actinopteri; Cypriniformes; Catostomidae. The record is from RefSeq and is a predicted model, not a curated record.